This 513-nucleotide ribosomal RNA is filed under the name Ploceus philippinus travancoreensis. RNAcentral's name for it is "partial 16S ribosomal RNA". It matches the Rfam family "Bacterial large subunit ribosomal RNA", at positions 1847 to 2569 of the family's 2925-position model. The record is from RNAcentral. Lineage: Eukaryota; Metazoa; Chordata; Aves; Passeriformes; Ploceidae.
UGAAGGUGAUGCCUGCCCAGUGACUCACGUUUAACGGCCGACGGUAUCCUAACCGUGCAAAGGUAGCGCAAUCAAUUGUCCCAUAAAUCGAGACUUGUAUGAAUGGCUAAACGAGGUCUUAACUGUCUCUUACAGGCAAUCGGUGAAAUUGAUCUCCCUGUACAAAAGCAGGGAUAAACCCAUAAGACGAGAAGACCCUGUGGAACUUCAAAACCAACGACCACCUUAAAACACAUACACACCCACCGGGUUCACUGCUGCAUAAGUUGCUGGUCCGCGUUUUUCGGUUGGGGCGACCUUGGAGCAAAACAAAACCUCCAAAAAUUAGACCAUAACUCUAGACUAAGAGCGACCUCUCAACGUGCUAAUAGUACCCAGACCCAAUAUAAUUGAUCAAUGGACCAAGCUACCCCAGGGAUAACAGCGCAAUCUCCUCCGAGAGUCCAUAUCGACGAGGAGGUUUACGACCUCGAUGUUGGAUCAGGACAUCCUAGUGGUGCAGCCGCUACUAAG